CGACGAAGUCCCUCAACCAAGAUCCUUCAACACAAAAUGAACCCGAGACCACCAACUCUCAACACAACAACCAACCCCACGUGACCGCAAUGCCCCUCACGCGGUCGUCAACCAAACAACCCUCCUUGCAUAACAACCCGCAUGGAACAAGGAUGACGAACCCUAGGCCAAAAAUCCCCAAACCAGGACGCACCGUGAAGGAAUUACGAUCAACGAACCAAUGACCUCUCCACCACGAAUGCUCCAAUCUUCUAAUCGAGAAAGGGAAAGGAUAUAAUGGUUGGGGAAGAAAGGGAAGGCACAGACAAAGAGGGAAGAAAGGGGGCCAAUUUUCUGAAUAUAAAUUUGGGGAACGAAAACCCCCAAUUUGGAACUUAAAUCAUCGAGACCAUUACCGACUGCUCACAAGCCUUCGGUAAUUUAUCUCAACAGCUCAAUACCGACGACUUAAAGGCCUUCGGUAAUACUCCAUCGAUAAAUUGAGCUUUUCCUAUAGUGUGUAGGGGAUGUUAUCCUCCACUAGAAGGUACCUCACCUGCAGCUCAUUUGCAUCCUGCUCGGUCCCCAACCAGGUCCUCCACUCCACGUAACCUCGUGUGUCCAUCCACUCUCC
This 613-nucleotide long non-coding RNA is filed under the name Vigna radiata. RNAcentral describes it as "long non-coding RNA (VRAD_LNC007181)". The record is from RNAcentral. Lineage: Eukaryota; Viridiplantae; Streptophyta; Magnoliopsida; Fabales; Fabaceae.